UCUGGUGCCAAUGGCAAAGAGGUCACACCUGUUCCCAUGCCGAACACAGAAGUUAAGCUCUUUAGCGCCGAUGGUAGUUGGACUUACGUUCCGCGAGAGUAGGACGGUGCCAGGU
RNAcentral lists this ribosomal RNA (115 nucleotides) under Staphylococcus pseudintermedius. Lineage: Bacteria; Bacillati; Bacillota; Bacilli; Caryophanales; Staphylococcaceae. The record is from RNAcentral.